AGUCAAGUAAUUAAGUGCAUGUGGUGGAUGCCUUGGCAGUCAGAGGCGAUGAAAGACGUGAUAGCCUGCGAAAAGCUCCGGGGAGGCGGCAAAUAUCCUUUGAUCCGGAGAUGUCUGAAUGGGGGAACCCACCUACUUUAAGGUAGGUAUUGCAACAUGAAUACAUAGUGUUGCAAGGCGAACGAGGGGAAGUGAAACAUCUCAGUACCCUUAGGAAAAGAAAUCAAUUGAGAUUCCCUCAGUAGCGGCGAGCGAACGGGGAUCAGCCCAUUAAGUUAUGUGUGUUUUAGUGGAACGCUCUGGGAAGUGCGAACGUAGAGGGUGAUAUUCCCGUACACGAAAGGGCACACAUAAUGAUGACGAGUAGGGCGAGGCACGUGAAACCUUGUCUGAAUAUGGGGGGACCAUCCUCCAAGGCUAAAUACUCCUGACUGACCGAUAGUGAACCAGUACCGUGAGGGAAAGGCGAAAAGAACCCCUGUGAGGGGAGUGAAAUAGAUCCUGAAACCGCAUGCAUACAAGCAGUGGGAGCACCUUCGUGGUGUGACUGCGUACCUUUUGUAUAAUGGGUCAGCGACUUAUAUUCAGUAGCGAGGUUAACCGUAUAGGGGAGCCGUAGAGAAAUCGAGUCUUAAUAGGGCGUUUAGUUGCUGGGUAUAGACCCGAAACCAGGCGAUCUAUCCAUGAGCAGGUUGAAGGUUGGGUAACACUAACUGGAGGACCGAACCCACUGUCGUUGAAAAGCCAGGGGAUGACUUGUGGAUAGGGGUGAAAGGCUAAUCAAGCCUGGUGAUAGCUGGUUCUCCCCGAAAGCUAUUUAGGUAGCGCCUCGGACGAAUACCAUAGGGGGUAGAGCACUGUUUCGGCUAGGGGGUCAUCCCGACUUACCAAACCGAUGCAAACUCCGAAUACCUAUGAGUACUAUCCGGGAGACAGACUGCGGGUGCUAACGUCCGUAGUCAAGAGGAAAACAAUCCAGACCGCCAGCUAAGGCCCCAAAAUCAUAGUUAAGUGGGAAACGAUGUGGGAAGGCAUAGACAGCUAGGAGGUUGGCUUAGAAGCAGCCACCCUUUAAAGAAAGCGUAAUAGCUCACUAGUCGAGUCGGCCUGCGCGGAAGAUGUAACGGGGCUAAAACUAUGUGCCGAAGCUGCGGAUGUAUACUUUGUAUACGUGGUAGGGGAGCGUUCUGUAAGCCGAUGAAGGUGUGUUGAGAAGCAUGCUGGAGGUAUCAGAAGUGCGAAUGCUGACGUGAGUAACGACAAAACGGGUGAAAAACCCGUUCGCCGAAAGACCAAGGGU
This 1300-nucleotide ribosomal RNA is filed under the name Acinetobacter baumannii. RNAcentral's name for it is "partial 23S ribosomal RNA". It matches the Rfam family "Bacterial large subunit ribosomal RNA", at positions 1 to 1352 of the family's 2925-position model. Lineage: Bacteria; Pseudomonadati; Pseudomonadota; Gammaproteobacteria; Moraxellales; Moraxellaceae. The record is from RNAcentral.